CCUACGGGAGGCAGCAGUGAGGAAUAUUGGACAAUGGGCGCAAGCCUGAUCCAGCCAUGCCGCGUGCAGGAUGACGGUCCUAUGGAUUGUAAACUGCUUUUGCACAGGAAGAAACAACAUUACGUGUAAUGUCUUGACGGUACUGUGAGAAUAAGGAUCGGCUAACUCCGUGCCAGCAGCCGCGGUAAUACGGAGGAUCCAAGCGUUAUCCGGAAUCAUUGGGUUUAAAGGGUCCGUAGGCGGUUUGGUAAGUCAGUGGUGAAAGCCCAUCGCUCAACGGUGGAACGGCCAUUGAUACUGCCAGACUUGAAUUAUUAGGAAGUAACUAGAAUAUGUAGUGUAGCGGUGAAAUGCUUAGAGAUUACAUGGAAUACCAAUUGCGAAGGCAGGUUACUACUAAUGGAUUGACGCUGAUGGACGAAAGCGUGGGUAGCGAACAGGAUUAGAUACCCUGGUAGUCCCACGACCGUAACGAUGAUACUAGNUGUUGGUAGNAUACUCAGUGGCGUAGACGAAAGUAG
Molecule: ribosomal RNA, 521 nt
Filed under: uncultured bacterium
Lineage: Bacteria
Description: bacterial SSU rRNA
Rfam family: Bacterial small subunit ribosomal RNA
Source: RNAcentral